Molecule: ribosomal RNA, 742 nt
Filed under: uncultured bacterium
Lineage: Bacteria
Description: bacterial SSU rRNA
Rfam family: Bacterial small subunit ribosomal RNA
Source: RNAcentral
AGAGUUUGAUCAUGGCUCAGAACGAACGCUGGCGGCAGGCUUAACACAUGCAAGUCGAACGCAUCCUUCGGGGUGAGUGGCAGACGGGUGAGUAACACGUGGGAACGUACCUUUCGGUUCGGGAUAACCCAGGGAAACUUGGGCUAAUACCGGAUACGCCCUUCGGGGGAAAGAUUCAUUGCCGAAAGAUCGGCCCGCGUCUGAUUAGCUAGUUGGUGAGGUAAAGGCUCACCAAGGCGACGAUCAGUAGCUGGUCUGAGAGGAUGAUCAGCCACACUGGGACUGAGACACGGCCCAGACUCCUACGGGAGGCAGCAGUGGGGAAUAUUGGACAAUGGGCGCAAGCCUGAUCCAGCCAUGCCGCGUGAGUGAUGAAGGCCUUAGGGUUGUAAAGCUCUUUCGGCGGGGACGAUAAUGACGGUACCCGCAGAAGAAGCCCCGGCUAACUUCGUGCCAGCAGCCGCGGUAAUACGAAGGGGGCUAGCGUUGUUCGGAAUCACUGGGCGUAAAGGGCGCGUAGGCGGCUUUAUAAGUCGGGGGGUGAAAGCCUGUGGCUCAACCACAGAAUUGCCUUCGAUACUGUAGAGCUUGAGACGGAAGAGGUAAGUGGAACUGCGAGUGUAGAGGUGAAAUUCGUAGAUAUUCGCAAGAACACCAGUGGCGAAGGCGGCUUACUGGUCCGGUUCUGACGCUGAGGCGCGAAAGCGUGGGGAGCAAACAGGAUUAGAUACCCUAGUAGUCC